AGCAGCCGCGGUAAUUCCAGCUCCAAUAGCGUAUAUUAAAGUUGUUGCAGUUAAAAAGCUCGUAGUUGAAUUUCGGGAUCAAUAUGUCGGUCGUGCCUUCGGUACGUACUGGCAUCAUUGGUUUCUCCCUUCUGACAAACCAUGAUGUCAUUAAUUUGGUGUUAUGGGGAGUUAGGACUGUUACUUUGAAAAAAUUAGAGUGUUUAAAGCAGGCAUUAGCUUGAAUACAUUAGCAUGGAAUAAUGAAAUAGGACGUUUGACCCUAUUUUGUUGGUUUCUAGGAUCGACGUAAUGAUUAAUAGGGAUAGUUGGGGGCAUUAGUAUUCAAUUGUCAGAGGUGAAAUUCUUGGAUUUAUUGAAGACUAACUACUGCGAAAGCAUUUGCCAAGGAUGUUUUCAUUAAUCAAGAACGAAAGUUAGGGGAUCGAAGACGAUCAGAUACCGUCGUAGUCUUAACCAUAAACUAUGCCGACUAGGGAUCGGAUGAUGUUAAUUUUUAAUGACUCAUUCGGCGCCUUAC
RNAcentral lists this ribosomal RNA (520 nucleotides) under uncultured Glomus. RNAcentral describes it as "SSU rRNA". It matches the Rfam family "Eukaryotic small subunit ribosomal RNA", at positions 569 to 1091 of the family's 1831-position model. Lineage: Eukaryota; Fungi; Glomeromycota; Glomeromycetes; Glomerales; Glomeraceae. The record is from RNAcentral.